GGGCGGUUAGCUCAGUUGGAUAGAGCACAGGCCUCCGAAGCCUGGUGUCAUGAGUUCGAUUCUCGUACCGCCCG
Molecule: transfer RNA, 74 nt
Filed under: Denitrovibrio sp.
Lineage: Bacteria; Pseudomonadati; Deferribacterota; Deferribacteres; Deferribacterales; Geovibrionaceae
Description: tRNA-Arg
Rfam family: tRNA
About the family: Transfer RNA (tRNA) molecules are approximately 80 nucleotides in length. Their secondary structure includes four short double-helical elements and three loops (D, anti-codon, and T loops). Further hydrogen bonds mediate the characteristic L-shaped molecular structure. tRNAs have two regions of fundamental functional importance: the anti-codon, which is responsible for specific mRNA codon recognition, and the 3' end, to which the tRNAs corresponding amino acid is attached (by aminoacyl-tRNA synthetases). tRNAs cope with the degeneracy of the genetic code in two manners: having more than one tRNA (with a specific anti-codon) for a particular amino acid; and 'wobble' base-pairing, i.e. permitting non-standard base-pairing at the 3rd anti-codon position.
Source: RNAcentral